Molecule: ribosomal RNA, 701 nt
Filed under: uncultured haloarchaeon
Lineage: Archaea; Methanobacteriati; Methanobacteriota; Halobacteria; Halobacteriales; Halobacteriaceae
Description: bacterial SSU rRNA
Rfam family: Archaeal small subunit ribosomal RNA
Source: RNAcentral
CNGGGUAGGAGUGAAAUCCCGUAAUCUCGGACGGACCACCUGUGGCGAAAGCGCCUCGGGAAGACGGAUCCGACAGUGAGGGACGAAAGCCAGGGUCUCGAACCGGAUUAGAUACCCGGGUAGUCCUGGCCGUAAACGAUGUCCGCUAGGUGUGACGCAGGCUACGAGCCUGCGUUGUGCCGUAGGGAAGCCGUGAAGCGGACCGCCUGGGAAGUACGUCUGCAAGGAUGAAACUUAAAGGAAUUGGCGGGGGAGCACUACAACCGGAGGAGCCUGCGGUUUAAUUGGACUCAACGCCGGACAUCUCACCAGCACCGACAGCAGUAAUGACGGUCAGGUUGAUGACCUUACCCGAGCUGCUGAGAGGAGGUGCAUGGCCGCCGUCAGCUCGUACCGUGAGGCGUCCUGUUAAGUCAGGCAACGAGCGAGACCCGCACCCUUAGUCGCCAGCAGCAUCCACGUGAUGGCUGGGUACACUAGGGGGACUGCCGCUGCCAAAGCGGAGGAAGGAACGGGCAACGGUAGGUCAGUAUGCCCCGAAUGUGCUGGGCAACACGCGGGCUACAAUGGCCGAGACAGUGGGAUGCGACCCCGAGAGGGGAAGCUAAUCUCCGAAACUCGGUCGUAGUUCGGAUUGAGGGCUGAAACUCGCCCUCAUGAAGCUGGAUUCGGUAGUAGUCGCGUGUCAGAAGCGCGCGGCG